AUUGAACGCUGGCGGCAUGCCUUACACAUGCAAGUCGAACGGCAGCACGGGUGCUUGCACCUGGAGGCGAGUGGCGAACGGGUGAGUAAUACAUCGGAACAUGUCCUGUAGUGGGGGAUAGCCCGGCGAAAGCCGGAUUAAUACCGCAUACGAUCUACGGAUGAAAGCGGGGGACCUUCGGGCCUCGCGCUAAAGGGUUGGCCGAUGGCUGAUUAGCUAGUUGGUGGGGUAAAGGCCUACCAAGGCGACGAUCAGUAGCUGGUCUGAGAGGACGACCAGCCACACUGGGACUGAGACACGGCCCAGACUCCUACGGGAGGCAGCAGUGGGGAAUUUGGGACAAUGGGCGAAAGCCUGAUCCAGCAAUGCCGCGUGUGUGAAGAAGGCCUUCGGGUUGUAAAGCACUUUUGUCCGGAAAGAAAUCCUUGGCCCUAAUACGGUCGGGGGAUGACGGUACCGGAAGAAUAAGCACCGGCUAACUACUG
Molecule: ribosomal RNA, 485 nt
Filed under: uncultured bacterium
Lineage: Bacteria
Description: partial 16S ribosomal RNA
Rfam family: Bacterial small subunit ribosomal RNA
Source: RNAcentral